CCUACGGGAGGCAGCAGUGAGGAAUAUUGGUCAAUGGGCGCGAGCCUGAACCAGCCAAGUAGCGUGAAGGAUGACUGCCCUACGGGUUGUAAACUUCUUUUAUAAAGGAAUAAAGUGAGGCACGUGUGCCUUUUUGUAUGUACUUUAUGAAUAAGGAUCGGCUAACUCCGUGCCAGCAGACGCGGUAAUACGGAGGAUCCGAGCGUUAUCCGGAUUUAUUGGGUUGAAAGGGAGCGUAGAUGGGUUGUUAAGUCAGUUGUGAAAGUUUGAGGCGCAACCGUAAAAUUGCAUUUGAUACUGGCAGCCUUGAGUACAGUAGAGGUAGGCGGAACUCGUGGUGUAGCGGUGGAAUGCUUAGAUAUAACGAAGAACUCCGAUUGCGAAGGCAGCCUACUAAACUGCCACUGACAUUGAUGCUCGAAAGUGUGGGUAUCAAACAGGAUUAGAUACCCGUGUAGUC
Molecule: ribosomal RNA, 460 nt
Filed under: uncultured bacterium
Lineage: Bacteria
Description: partial 16S ribosomal RNA
Rfam family: Bacterial small subunit ribosomal RNA
Source: RNAcentral